This 1110-nucleotide ribosomal RNA is filed under the name Triticum aestivum (bread wheat). RNAcentral describes it as "partial small subunit ribosomal RNA". Lineage: Eukaryota; Viridiplantae; Streptophyta; Magnoliopsida; Poales; Poaceae. The record is from RNAcentral.
AUGUCGACCCCGGGCGCCGCCUACUACGCUUCCCUCGCGCGCAAGCAGUACUUCUGCUACCAAUGCAACCGCACCGUCCUCAUCGCCGCCUCCGCCGCGGCCGCCGGCGAGCUCUCAUGCCCCGACUGCCGCGGCGACUUCCUGGAGGAGGUCACCGUCCCCGCCCCCACCAUCCUCCCCUUCCCCUUCGCCUUCCCCCCUAUGAUGCCCACCGCCUCCUCCCCGUCCCGAUCCUCCUCCUCCUCCACCGCCGCGCCCCCCUCCAGCGACCUCUCCAACUUCCUCACCAGCAUCCUCGACCUCCAGGAGGGCCGCCGCGUUAGGUCCAGGAGCGGGAGCGGUGCCGCCUCGGCCGCUGGCACGGCCACGCCUGAGAACGAGCCGGAGUCCUUCGACCCGCUCGUGUUUUUCCAGAACUACAUCCACACCCUCAUGGAGGGGGGCGCCAACAUCCAGGUGCUCCUCGACGACGCCAGCGUCAACCUCGCCCCCGGCCUAGGCGGCCGUGCCGGUGGGACAAGCUACGGGGACUACUUCGUCGGCCCGGGACUGGAGCAACUCAUCGAGCAGCUCGCCGAGAACGAUCCCAACCGCUAUGGCACGCCGCCGGCUGCCAAGUCCGCCCUGACCACUCUUCCUGACGUCGUUGUCACCGAUGCCAUGGUUGCGGCGGCAGAGGGCGCCGAGUGUGCUGUGUGCAAGGAAGAUUUCUCACCUGGAGAUGGGGCCAAGCAGAUGCCCUGCAAGCAUAUCUACCACGCAGAUUGCAUCGUACCCUGGUUGGAGCUCCACAAUUCGUGCCCCAUUUGUCGCUUUGAGCUGCCCACCGAUGAUCCUGAUUAUGAGGGCAAUAAGGCCUCAAACGCACAGUCAGCUGUUGGUAUCGCUGCUGCUGCUGCAUCUGGGAGCUCUGGUGCUGCUGAGGAAGGAGGGGAGGAGAGUGGGGAGGCUGCAAGGGUGGUGGAAAGGAGAUUCAAUGUGUCAUUGGCUUGGCCGUUUGGUGGAUUGGCAGGUCAAACACCACAGCAAGAUGGGAACAAUGCCGGUGCUGGCAGUAGCUCACAGGACAGCGGUUCGCAGGAUGGAGCUGGUGGCAGUAACAAAAAUUGA